CGCUGGCGGCAUGCCUUACGACAUGCAAGUCGAACGGCAGCACGGGAGCAAUCCUGGUGGCGAGUGGCGAACGGGUGAGUAAUAUAUCGGAACGUGCCCAGUCGUGGGGGAUAACGUAGCGAAAGCUACGCUAAUACCGCAUACUAUCUAUGGAUGAAAGCGGGGGAUCGCAAGACCUCGCGCGAUUGGAGCGGCCGAUAUCAGAUUAGGUAGUUGGUGAGGUAAAGGCUCACCAAGCCGACGAUCUGUAGCUGGUCUGAGAGGACGACCAGCCACACUGGGACUGAGACACGGGCCCAGACUCCUACGGGAGGCAGCAGUGGGGAAUUUUGGACAAUGGGCGCAAGCCUGAUCCAGCAAUGCCGCGUGCAGGAUGAAGGCCUUCGGGUUGUAAACUGCUUUGUACGGAACGAAACGGUGAGCUCUAAUACAGUUUGCUAAUGACGGUACCGUAAGAAUAAGCACCGGCUAACUACGUG
Molecule: ribosomal RNA, 479 nt
Filed under: uncultured bacterium
Lineage: Bacteria
Description: bacterial SSU rRNA
Rfam family: Bacterial small subunit ribosomal RNA
Source: RNAcentral